RNAcentral lists this ribosomal RNA (137 nucleotides) under uncultured eukaryote. RNAcentral's name for it is "partial 18S ribosomal RNA". It matches the Rfam family "Eukaryotic small subunit ribosomal RNA", at positions 1299 to 1458 of the family's 1831-position model. The record is from RNAcentral.
UCGUGGAGCGAUUUGUCUGGUUUAUUCCGAUAACGAGCGAGACUCCAGCCUGCUAAAUAGUCCGGGCGUUGCCACUGCGCCCGCCGACUUCUUAGAGGGAUACACGGCGUUCAGCCGCACGACACGGAGCAAUAACA